UUGAAUCUAUCGAAUCCACUUUGGUAACCCAACGUCCCCCUCGUGGCACGGCUGCCGCCGUGUGCGAGCGUCGGUUCCCUGGCCGUGGCUCCCCGAGCCGCGGUUUCAGGUCCGACGGGCGUCUUCCUCACAUGAAGGGGCUUCGGCCCCCCUUUGGGGAGCAGACGCUGGUAAUUUUUAUCCAACCAACCCACUCCAAACCUCAACAUAAACUGAAGCGCUUUUGACGGCACAGACUCGUCUGUCCGUCUCCAAACCAAAGACAACUCUCAACAACGGAUAUCUUGGCUCCCGUAUCGAUGAAGAACGCAGCGAAAUGCGAUACGUAGUGUGAAUUGCAGAAUUCCGUGAACCAUCGAAUCUUUGAACGCAAAUUGCGCCCAAGGCUUCGGCCAAGGGCAUGUCUGCCUCAGCGUCGGUUUACACCCUCGCCCUCCCCCUCUCUGUGAGGGGCGUAGGACGGACCUGGCCCUCCCGGCUCGGUCGGCCCUUCGCGGUCGGCUCCGGGUUGGCUGAAGCACAGAGGCUUGAGCAUGGACCCCGUUUGCAGGGUAAUGACUUGGUAGGUAGGAUUUCCUGCACAACCCGUCGUUGCCCGAGGGGACUUUGCUGGAGGCCCGGCAAGAAUUCGAGCGCGUGCCGUUGGUGCCCUCGGAACCCCCCACUUUUCGACCUGAGCUC
This 681-nucleotide ribosomal RNA is filed under the name Chlorella vulgaris. Its description in RNAcentral is "eukaryotic LSU rRNA". The stretch from base 265 to 418 matches the Rfam family "5.8S ribosomal RNA". Lineage: Eukaryota; Viridiplantae; Chlorophyta; Trebouxiophyceae; Chlorellales; Chlorellaceae. The record is from RNAcentral.